Molecule: ribosomal RNA, 282 nt
Filed under: uncultured bacterium
Lineage: Bacteria
Description: partial 16S ribosomal RNA
Rfam family: Bacterial small subunit ribosomal RNA
Source: RNAcentral
GAGGAAACUUGUGCUAAUACCGGAUAAGUCUUUACGGAGAAAGCUUUAUGCACCAUUGGAUGAGCCUGCAUUUGAUUAGUUUGUUGGUAGGGUAAUGGCCUACCAAGACUGUGAUCAAUAGCUGAUUUGAGAGGAUGAUCAGCCACAUUGGGACUGAGACACGGCCCAAACUCCUACGGGAGGCAGCAGUGGGGAAUCUUGCACAAUGGAGGAAACUCUGAUGCAGCGAUGCCGCGUGAGUGAAGAAGGCCCUUGGGUUGUAAAGCUCUUUCGUCGGGGAAG